Molecule: ribosomal RNA, 696 nt
Filed under: uncultured bacterium
Lineage: Bacteria
Description: bacterial SSU rRNA
Rfam family: Bacterial small subunit ribosomal RNA
Source: RNAcentral
AACGCUAGCUACAGGCUUAACACAUGCAAGUCGAGGGGAAACGACAUCGAAAGCUUGCUUUUGAUGGGCGUCGACCGGCGCACGGGUGAGUAACGCGUAUCCAACCUGCCCACCACUUGGGGAUAACCUUGCGAAAGUAAGACUAAUACCCAAUGAUAUCUCUAGAAGACAUCUGAAAGAGAUUAAAGAUUUAUCGGUGAUGGAUGGGGAUGCGUCUGAUUAGCUUGUUGGCGGGGUAACGGCCCACCAAGGCUACGAUCAGUAGGGGUUCUGAGAGGAAGGUCCCCCACAUUGGAACUGAGACACGGUCCAAACUCCUACGGGAGGCAGCAGUGAGGAAUAUUGGUCAAUGGACGAGAGUCUGAACCAGCCAAGUAGCGUGCAGGAUGACGGCCCUAUGGGUUGUAAACUGCUUUUAUAAGGGAAUAAAGUGAGUCUCGUGAGGCUUUUUGCAUGUACCUUAUGAAUAAGGACCGGCUAAUUCCGUGCUAGCGGCCGCGGUAAUACGGAAGGUCCGGGCGUUAUCCGGAUUUAUUGGGUUUAAAGGGAGCGUAGGCCGGAGAUUAAGCGUGUUGUGAAAUGUAGACGCUCAACGUCUGCACUGCAGCGCGAACUGGUUUCCUUGAGUACGCACAAAGUGGGCGGAAUUCGUGGUGUAGCGGUGAAAUGCUUAGAUAUCACGAAGAACUCCGAUUG